Molecule: long non-coding RNA, 954 nt
Organism: Astatotilapia calliptera (eastern happy)
Lineage: Eukaryota; Metazoa; Chordata; Actinopteri; Cichliformes; Cichlidae
Source: Ensembl
AAUCGGUGUAAGAGCCAAAGUCAAUGUUUAUGUUUUUCCUUUUUGUUUUGGUGGCACAGGUGUAUAGCUUUACCUGCGUCUCAGGUGAUGGUGUGUGGGUGUGGUCACAGUCUAUUUACCUGAGGUCGGUGUUCGCAGCAGGUGUGUUGGGAGUCACCACAGCAGAUCAUCUGCCUCCAUCGCACCCUAUACUGGGCAGACUGAUCUGUCACACCAACACUGUGCAGACCUGUGCAGUCCAGACCUUUGUCACUUUGCAACAAUAGAUUCAAAAUAUAACUUUUUACCACUGUAAUCAACAUGCUUUGAAAUGCAUGACUUUUACCCUGAAGUGAAGCUGUCUGUCUCAGUUUGACAAUGCAUGCUGAUAGUAUUACACAUAAUUCAGUGAUGUGUGAAAAGACAGUGAAAGCUUUUACGCAAUUUAGGCAGCACUACUACUGAAGAGCAGGUGUACUCAUGUCAAUAAAUAUUUUAAUUAGCACAAGUUCGACAAUAUAGAUAUCACAGAUAUAUCUUUGUGGCACUCCAAAACUGUUUUAGCCAGCACUAAAGAAAAACCACAUGUGCUAAAAAGAAAAAAGCUUGAGAAUAAAAAUUCAAGCACUGUGCUGUUGUGUGUUUAAACUGUCAUGGUCCUGGGCCAUGUUGGCCCAGUGUUCUUAGUUUUCUUGUAUGUUUGUAUUUUGUUCCUUAUUUAGGCCAUGUUUUCUGAGUUGCCCUGUUCCCUAAGUGUUUUCCCUUCAUGGCUUUUACCCCCUGUGUGCCCCUCUGUGUAUCUGUGAGCCCUCGUCUCUCCUUAUGUUUUAUUCCAUGUUUCCCCUGCCCAUUAUGUCCAAGUUCUCCCCGUGCUCUCUCUCUCCCCCCUGUGUGCCCUGUGUAUUUAUGAGCCCUCGUCUCCCUUUGUGGUUGUUUCAUGUUUCCCCAGCCCGUUAUGUCUGUGUUUUCCCCGUG